RNAcentral lists this ribosomal RNA (472 nucleotides) under uncultured bacterium. RNAcentral describes it as "bacterial SSU rRNA". It matches the Rfam family "Bacterial small subunit ribosomal RNA", at positions 20 to 518 of the family's 1533-position model. The record is from RNAcentral.
UGGCUCAGGAUGAACGCUGGCGGCGUGCCUAACACAUGCAAGUCGAGCGAUUCUCUUCGGAGAAGAGCGGCGGACGGGUGAGUAACGCGUGGGUAACCUGCCUCAUACACAUGGAUAACAUACCGAAAGGUAUGCUAAUACAGGAUAAUAUAAGAGAUUCACAUGGAUUUCUUAUCAAAGCUCCGGCGGUAUGAGAUGGACCCGCGUCUGAUUAGCUAGUUGGUAAGGUAACGGCUUACCAAGGCGACGAUCAGUAGCCGACCUGAGAGGGUGAUCGGCCACAUUGGAACUGAGACACGGUCCAAACUCCUACGGGAGGCAGCAGUGGGGAAUAUUGCACAAUGGGCGAAAGCCUGAUGCAAGCAACGCCGCGUGAGUGAUGAAGGCCUUCGGGUCGUAAAACUCUGUCCUCAAGGAAGAUAAUGACGGUACUUGAGGAGGAAGCCCCGGCUAACUACGUGCCAGCAGCAGC